RNAcentral lists this ribosomal RNA (492 nucleotides) under uncultured bacterium. Its description in RNAcentral is "partial 16S ribosomal RNA". It matches the Rfam family "Bacterial small subunit ribosomal RNA", at positions 29 to 507 of the family's 1533-position model. The record is from RNAcentral.
AGUGAACGCUGGCGGUAGGCCUAACACAUGCAAGUCGAACGGCAGCACAGUAAGAGCUUGCUCUUACGGGUGGCGAGUGGCGGACGGGUGAGGAAUACAUCGGAAUCUACUUUUUCGUGGGGGAUAACGUAGGGAAACUUACGCUAAUACCGCAUACGACCUACGGGUGAAAGCAGGGGAUCUUCUGACCUUGCGCGAUUGAAUGAGCCAAUGUCGGAUUAGCUAGUUGGCGGGGUAAAGGCCCACCAAGGCGACGAUCCGUAGCUGGUCUGAGAGGAUGAUCGGCCACACUGGAACUGAGACACGGUCCAGACUCCUACGGGAGGCAGCAGUGGGGAAUAUUGGACAAUGGGCGCAAGCCUGAUCCAGCCAUACCGCGUGGGUGAAGAAGGCCUUCGGGUUGUAAAGCCCUUUUGUUGGGAAAGAAAAGCAGCAGGUUAAUACCCCGCUGUUCUGACGGUACCCAAAGAAUAAGCACCGGCUAACUUCGUG